Molecule: ribosomal RNA, 492 nt
Filed under: uncultured bacterium
Lineage: Bacteria
Description: partial 16S ribosomal RNA
Rfam family: Bacterial small subunit ribosomal RNA
Source: RNAcentral
AGUGAACGCUGGCGGUAGGCCUAACACAUGCAAGUCGAACGGCAGCACAGUAAGAGCUUGCUCUUACGGGUGGCGAGUGGCGGACGGGUGAGGAAUACAUCGGAAUCUACUUUUUCGUGGGGGAUAACGUAGGGAAACUUACGCUACUACCGCAUACGACCUACGGGUGAAAGCAGUGGAUCUUCGGACCUUGCGCGAUUGAAUGAGCCGAUGUCGGAUUAGCUAGUUGGCGGGGUAAAGGCCCACCAAGGCGACGAUCCGUAGCUGGUCUGAGAGGAUGAUCAGCCACACUGGAACUGAGACACGGUCCAGACUCCUACGGGAGGCAGCAGUGGGGAAUAUUGGACAAUGGGCGCAAGCCUGAUCCAGCCAUACCGCGUGGGUGAAGAAGGCCUUCGGGUUGUAAAGCCCUUUUGUUGGGAAAGAAAAGCAGCAGGUUAAUACCCCGCUGUUCUGACGGUACCCAAAGAAUAAGCACCGGCUAACUUCGUG